CCCUACUCUCUCCUCCCCUGCUACGAAGAAGACGUAACCUUCCUUCUUGAAUAUAAUUUUUCAUCUUUCAAAUCUCAAUUUCGCUAAUUACCUCAAUUCAUUGUUCAGUUUCUCGAGAAAUUAAAAGCGUAAAUCGUUGAGGCGUAAGGUAAGAUCGUUUCACAAUUUUCAUGUUAUUUUAUUUGCAUGACUGGUACAAGCGUUUCUGCUCAAUAUCUUGGUUUAUCUAUCAGCCUCGGUUCAUAACUUCAGAUUAACAUUAGGCAUUUGGAUGAGAGUGGAGUUUACAAUGGCCAUUUCUCCACUUUCGCCUUUUGUGGUUACAUUCGUGCACAGGUCUCUCUAUAUCAUAUUUCACUAUUGUUUCUAAUUUAUUUUGGAAUUUCAUUAUUGUUUGCGUUACUUGAUUUGUGCCUUACCGGUAGUUAUAUGAAAAUUUCUGAAGUAAUUACUUUGCCCUUUUUUAUGUACCUGUUGAUUUAGGCCAGUUAAUUAUGCUUGUAGCUUUGUAUUCCCCUAUUUGUUUGAUUCUGCGGUUGAUAAACUAUAUAUUAAAUUAAAGGGUUUUAUAAUUCUGAAUAGAAAUUUUCUUACACACCCUCAUAUAUUGAUAAAUGUUCCUUGUGGACAUUGUUGGUGGGAAUGAUCCUCCUAUUUCAAAUUACCCUCCAGUAGAGAUUGAGAAAGAUGGAAUCAAUAGAACCAGUAAAUGCAGUAGUUCAAGCUGCUCCAGUAGUGAAUCUGGAACCUCAUCCAGUGGUUCGUGUUUCUUCAUACUUUUGACAUGUUUCUUGUUUCAGGAUGUUUUAAGUCUCUUCGGAUUGCACAUGUAUACCCAGAAUUUGCUCUUCAGUCUUAUUUGUUCUAAACGGGUACCCCUGCAUUGUCAUACAAUCCAAAUUUCUGUAAAAAAAUUUAAGUCCUUAAACUAUUUUACGUGCUUGGUUUUAAGUCCUUAAACUAUUUUACAUAGCAGCUUCUUACGAAAGAUAUUCCAGUGUCAAUUUCGUUCUCCCUUUUUAUCUGUUGCUUCCCCUCCCUUACCCCUCCCUUCCACAUUCUCAAUCUCUAUUUUAUUUUAACACAUUUACUUAUCCUUGUUAGAUGAUAAAAUUGCAAGUGGAGAUGGCACCGACGAAAGUCAAUUGAGCUCAAAAUCAGGUUUUCUGCUAGUAGACAUGGGCCCUCGACAAUAACCCACCGCACUGCAAACCCCAUCUCUGCCCAUGGCUAUGCAUGUAAACGUGUCUGUUUCUGUCAGGAGUGAUAUGUACUGGCCCAUCCUCUUCAGGGAACCAUUUCUGAUAUACAAUCAACUGAAUGCCCAACAACUAGUGAACCACAGAACUAGCAGGACAGAUUGGUACUUCAAUAUGAAAGCUUGGAAAAUGGUGGAGCAGUUUUUCAUUGUUGCAAAAGCUGAUUAUAUGUAAAUUUUCAAUACAUGAUGAGAGAGCUCUAAGACUGUUGUUCUUCUUCCACUUGUAAUAUUCCUUUAGUUCAAUGUAUCUUAUCUUAGUUGUAAUCAUACUAGGAUGUAACAGAGCAAUUGCCAUAUGUAUCUCAGUUGUAAUCAUAUCAGGAUUGUAAUUUCCCAAUUGUAAU
Molecule: RNA transcript, 1605 nt
Organism: Gastrolobium bilobum
Lineage: Eukaryota; Viridiplantae; Streptophyta; Magnoliopsida; Fabales; Fabaceae
Gene name: transcription factor GTE10-like
Exons: 3
Source: RefSeq, a predicted model, not a curated record